RNAcentral lists this ribosomal RNA (801 nucleotides) under Lepraria neglecta. RNAcentral describes it as "SSU rRNA". It matches the Rfam family "Bacterial small subunit ribosomal RNA", at positions 345 to 1198 of the family's 1533-position model. The record is from RNAcentral. Lineage: Eukaryota; Fungi; Ascomycota; Lecanoromycetes; Lecanorales; Stereocaulaceae.
CCAGCAACUUGGAGGAAUGUAUAGCAAUAGCUGAUUGCACCAACAAAUAGUUGAUGCAAUAUUGACUCUGUCAAAUAAAAUUCUAGGUAGAAUUAUGAUAAUGACAUUGUCUGCCUAUAUGUCUUGACCAAAUUACGUGCCAGCAGUCGCGGUAAUACGUAGAAGACUAGUGUUAUUCAUCUUUAAUAGGUUUAAAGGGUACCUAGACGGUAAAUCAAGCCUUCACAGGGACUAAUUUACUAGAGUUACUUACGAGGGGGUAUUAAAGUACUGCAGGUGUAGAGAUGAAAUUCUGUCAUACCUCUUUUCAAAAGAAAAAUUAUGGCACAGGUAUAGGUGAAAGCAUCCCCUUAUGUGAUAACUGACGUUGAAGGACGAAGGCUUUGUGUCGCGAACAGGAUUAGAUACCCCAGUAGUCAAAGCAGAAAAUGAUGAAUGUCAUAGAUUAGAUAAAUAGUUUAUUCUAUAAAUGAAAAUGUAAGCAUUCCACCUCAAGAGUAAUUUGGCAACAUUGGAACUGAAAUCAUUAGACCGUUUCUGAAACCAGUAGUGAAGUAUGUUGUUUAAUUUGAUGAUCCGCAAAAAACCUUACCACAAUUUGAAUAUUUAUAUCUAUCUUUUUUUUUUCGUAAAAAAAUAAAAAGGUAAUAUAUUUACAAGCGUUGCACGGCUGUCUUCAGUUAAUGUCGCGAGACUUUGGUUAGUUCCAUUAAAUUAACGUAAACCCUUACUUUAUUUUUAUAUGAAGUAGUUCCCCGCUAUAUUGGAUAUGAUAACAGGGACUAAGACAAGUCAUCAUGG